Molecule: long non-coding RNA, 179 nt
Organism: Alosa sapidissima (American shad)
Lineage: Eukaryota; Metazoa; Chordata; Actinopteri; Clupeiformes; Clupeidae
Exons: 3
Source: RefSeq, a predicted model, not a curated record
GCUGAGUUAGACAUUAACGGAGGCGGUUGGUGAACACGAGAGCUAGUGAAAAGAAAAGUUUGUUUGAUUUGUUUCAGCCCCAGGACCGAGGCGUUCAGGUGGCGUGACUGGCGUGCCCUGUCUGCAAUCCUCCCUUUCACCCCAGGACCGAGGCGUUGAGGUGGCGUGACUGGCGUGAA